UCCACAAUGGACGAAAGUCUGAUGGAGCGACACAGCGUGCAGGAUGAAGGCCCUAAUGGGUUGUAAACUGCUGGUGGUAAGGGAAUAAAAAAUAGUGUAGGAAAUGCCACUAUAUUGAAUGUACCUUAUUAGAAAGCAACGGCUAACUAUGUGCCAGCAGCCGCGGUAAUACAUAGGUUGCAAGCGUUAUCCGGAAUUAUUGGGCGUAAAGCGUCUGUAGGUUGUUUGUUAAGUCUGGCGUUAAAUUUUGGGGCUCAACCCCAAACCGCGUUGGAUACUGGCAAACUAGAGUUAUGUAGAGGUUAGCGGAAUUCCUUGUGAAGCGGUGAAAUGCGUAGAUAUAAGGAAGAACACCAACAUGGCGAAGGCAGCUAACUGGACAUACACUGACACUGAGAGACGAAAGCGUGGGGAGCAAACAGGAUUAGAUACCCUGGUAGUCCACGCCCUAAACGUUGAUCAUUAGCUGAUGGGGAACUCAUCGGCGCAGCUAACGCAUUAAAUGAUCCGCCUGAGUAGUACGUUCGCAAGAAUAAAACUUAAAGGAAUUGACGGGGACCCGCACAAGCGGUGGAGCAUGUGGUUUAAUUUGAAGAUACGCGUAGAACCUUACCCACUCUUGACAUCUUCUGCAAAGCUAUAGAGAUAUAGUCGAGGUUAACAGAAUGACAGAUGGUGCAUGGUUGUCGUCAGCUCGUGUCGUGAGAUGUUCGGUUAAGUCCUGCAACGAGCGCAACCCUUAUCCUUAGUUACUAACAUUCAGUUGAGCACUCUAGGGAGACUGCCCGAGUAAUCGGGAGGAAGGUGGGGACGACGUCAAAUCAUCAUGCCUCUUACGAGUGGGGCCACACACGUGCUACAAUGGCCGGUACAAAGUGAAGCAACCUGGUGACAGUGAGCAAACCACAAAAAGCCGGUCUCAGUUCGGAUUGGAGUC
RNAcentral lists this ribosomal RNA (937 nucleotides) under Mycoplasmopsis bovigenitalium. RNAcentral describes it as "bacterial SSU rRNA". It matches the Rfam family "Bacterial small subunit ribosomal RNA", at positions 365 to 1305 of the family's 1533-position model. Lineage: Bacteria; Bacillati; Mycoplasmatota; Mycoplasmoidales; Metamycoplasmataceae. The record is from RNAcentral.